UACAUUUACUCUAGUACUAUACUUAAGUGCCAUUUUGAGGUACUUGUGCUUUACCUGUGUCUUAACUUUGCAUG
Etheostoma cragini (Arkansas darter) is the source of this 74-nucleotide long non-coding RNA. RefSeq lists it as uncharacterized. The record is from RefSeq and is a predicted model, not a curated record. Lineage: Eukaryota; Metazoa; Chordata; Actinopteri; Perciformes; Percidae. The transcript has 3 exons.